RNAcentral lists this transfer RNA (91 nucleotides) under Nitrososphaeria archaeon. RNAcentral's name for it is "tRNA-Ala". It matches the Rfam family "tRNA". Rfam says of the family: Transfer RNA (tRNA) molecules are approximately 80 nucleotides in length. Their secondary structure includes four short double-helical elements and three loops (D, anti-codon, and T loops). The record is from RNAcentral. Lineage: Archaea; Thermoproteati; Nitrososphaerota; Nitrososphaeria.
GGGCCGGUAGCUCAGCUGGGAGAGCCUCUAAACCCCCAUGAGCGCUCCCUUGGCGUGGGAGAGGUCGCGGGUUCAAAUCCCGCCCGGUCCA